ACCGGCACCCCGAGUGGUCGGGACGAUUAUUGGGCCUAAAGCAUCCGUAGCCGGUUCUGCAAGUCCUCCGUUAAAUCCACCUGCUCAACAGAUGGGCUGCGGAGGAUACCGCAGAGCUAGGAGGCGGGAGAGGCAAACGGUACUCGGUGGGUAGGGGUAAAAUCCAUUGAUCCACUGAAGACCACCAGUGGCGAAGGCGGUUUGCCAGAACGCGCUCGACGGUGAGGGAUGAAAGCUGGGGGAGCAAACCGGA
This 253-nucleotide ribosomal RNA is filed under the name uncultured prokaryote. RNAcentral describes it as "partial 16S ribosomal RNA". It matches the Rfam family "Archaeal small subunit ribosomal RNA", at positions 475 to 728 of the family's 1478-position model. The record is from RNAcentral.